UUCCCUGCAUGGUGCGUUUUUGACAGAGUUUUUAGAACCUACAAGUUUUGGAGAAGGGAGCAUGAUCUCUGAAUAUGGCGUGUAAGCUUACGAGCUUUAUCAGUAAGAAACCCAGAAGUAUUUAGGACGGCACCCACCUGUUUUAGGACAGGUCCAUAAAAAUUCUUAUGCAUGACGGCUGAUGUGGGGUUU
This 192-nucleotide non-coding RNA is filed under the name human gut metagenome. RNAcentral's name for it is "6S / SsrS RNA". It matches the Rfam family "6S / SsrS RNA". Rfam says of the family: E. coli 6S RNA was the first non coding RNA to be sequenced, but its function was unknown until recently. The record is from RNAcentral.